CCUACGGGGGGCAGCAGUGGGGAAUAUUGGACAAUGGGGGCAACCCUGAUCCAGCCAUGCCGCGUGUGUGAAGAAGGCCCUCGGGUUGUAAAGCACUUUCAGUGAGGAAGAACGCCUGGUGGUUAAUACCCAUCAGGAAAGACAUCACUCACAGAAGAAGCACCGGCUAACUCCGUGCCAGCAGCCGCGGUAAUACGGAGGGUGCGAGCGUUAAUCGGAAUUACUCGGCGUAAAGCGCGCGUAGGUGGCUUGAUAAGCCGGUUGUGAAAGCCCCGGGCUCAACCUGGGAACGGCAUCCGGAACUGUCAAGCUAGAGUGCAGGAGAGGAAGGUAGAAUUCCCGGUGUAGCGGUGAAAUGCGUAGAGAUCGGGAGGAAUACCAGUGGCGAAGGCGGCCUUCUGGACUGACACUGACACUGAGGUGCGAAAGCGUGGGUAGCAAACAGGAUUAGAUACCCUUGUAGUC
This 465-nucleotide ribosomal RNA is filed under the name Vreelandella stevensii. RNAcentral's name for it is "partial 16S ribosomal RNA". It matches the Rfam family "Bacterial small subunit ribosomal RNA", at positions 338 to 795 of the family's 1533-position model. Lineage: Bacteria; Pseudomonadati; Pseudomonadota; Gammaproteobacteria; Oceanospirillales; Halomonadaceae. The record is from RNAcentral.